GGCUCCGAGAUAACGCUUUAGAAUGCAAUUCUAAAGCCGCAGUUUUCCAGCCGGGGCUU
RNAcentral lists this transfer RNA (59 nucleotides) under Micromoema xiphophora. RNAcentral's name for it is "Micromoema xiphophorus tRNA-Cys". The record is from RNAcentral. Lineage: Eukaryota; Metazoa; Chordata; Actinopteri; Cyprinodontiformes; Rivulidae.